GACGAACGCUGGCGGCGUGCUUAACACAUGCAAGUCGAACGGAAAGGCCCUGCUUUUGUGGGGUGCUCGAGUGGCGAACGGGUGAGUAACACGUGAGUAACCUGCCCUUGACUUUGGGAUAACUUCAGGAAACUGGGGCUAAUCCCGGAUAGGCGCUCCUGCUGCAUGGUGGGGGUUGGAAAGUUUCGGCGGUUGGGGAUGGACUCGCGGCUUAUCAUCUUGUUGGUGGGGUAGUGGCUUACCAAGGCUUUGACGGGUAGCCGGCCUGAGAGGGUGACCGGCCACAUGGGGACUGAGAUACGGCCCAGACUCCUACGGGAGGCAGCAGUGGGGAAUAUUGCACAAUGGGCGGAAGCCUGAUGCAGCAACGCCGCGUGCGGGAUGACGGCCUUCGGGUUGUAAACCGCUUUCGCCUGUGACGAAGCGUGAGUGACGGUAAUGGGUAAAGAAGCACCGGCUAACUACGUG
Molecule: ribosomal RNA, 468 nt
Filed under: uncultured bacterium
Lineage: Bacteria
Description: partial 16S ribosomal RNA
Rfam family: Bacterial small subunit ribosomal RNA
Source: RNAcentral